CGACUUUUCCAUCUCCUUUUUGAACACUUCUUCACCGCAGAGGAGUGCACCAAUGCAAUGGCUUUCGGACGACAUGGCAAGAUACCAGAGGGGAAGCAGCUGCUUGACCAAAGCAAAGUUGAUGGAAUUCUGACCUAUGUGAGGCGGUGUGCAACGAUGGAGAACUGGAAACCAGUAGAGGAGGCCAAGCUUAAAAAGGCCCUCAUAAAUAAAUGCCAUCACAGGUCAGUACAGUGACUGGCUUUACAGGCAUAAUGUUU
Molecule: long non-coding RNA, 260 nt
Organism: Cyprinodon tularosa
Lineage: Eukaryota; Metazoa; Chordata; Actinopteri; Cyprinodontiformes; Cyprinodontidae
Exons: 2
Source: RefSeq, a predicted model, not a curated record